CCCGCUAUCGUGUAGCAAGGGCCCGUACCGUAAACCGACACAGGUGGAUGAGGAGAGGAUCCUAAGGCCGGCGGGAGAAGUGUUGUUAAGGAACUCGGCAAAAUGACUCCGUAACUUCGGGAGAAGGAGUGCUGCGCAAGCAGCCGCAGAGAAAUGGCCCAAGCAACUGUUUAGCAAAAACACAGGUCUAUGCGAAACCGAAAGGUGAGGUAUAUGGGCUGACGCCUGCCCGGUGCUGGAAGGUUAAGGGGAGAGCUUAGCGCGAGCGAAGGUUUGAACUUAAGCCCCAGUAAACGGCGGCCGUAACAAUAACGGUUCUAAGGUAGCGAAAUUCCUUGUCGGGUAAGUUCCGACCCGCACGAAAGGCGUGAUGAUUUGGGCACUGUCUCAACAACACACCCGGUGAAAUUGAAAUACCAGUGAAGAUGCUGGUUACCCGCGCCAGGACGGAAAAACCCCAUGGAGCUUUACUCCAGCCUGGUACUGGGAUUCGGUAUUGCAUGUACAGGAUAGGUGGGAGGCUAAGAACUCAUGGCGCUAGCCGUGAGGGAGCCGGUGUUGGGAUACCACCCCUGCAGUACUGGGUUUCUAACCUGCGCCCGUGACCCGGGCGGGGGACAAUGUCAGGCGGGGAGUUUGACUGGGGCGGUCGCCUCCGAAAGGGUAUCGGAGGCGCUCAAAGGUCUCCUCAGGAUGGUUGGAAACCAUCCAGAGAGUGCAAAGGCAGAAGGAGGCUUGACUGCGACACCGACGGGUGGAGCAGGUACGAAAGUAGGACUUAGUGAUCCGGUGGCAUAAAGUGGGAUUGCCAUCGCUCAACGGAUAAAAGCUACCCUGGGAUAACAGGCUUAUCACUCCCAAGAGUUCACAUCGACGGAGUGGUUUGGCACCUCGAUGUCGGCUCAUCGCAUCCUGGAGCUGGAGCAGGUUCCAAGGGUUGGGCUGUUCGCCCAUUAAAGCGGUACGCGAGCUGGGUUCAGAACGUCGUGAGACAGUUCGGUCCCUAUCCGGCGCGGGCGCAGGAUAUCUGAGAGGAGCUGUCCUUAGUACGAGAGGACCGGGAUGGACCGUCCGCUGGUGGACCGGUUGUCAUGCCAAUGGCACGGCCGGGUAGCCAAGACGGGAAGGGAUAAACGCUGAAGGCAUCUAAGCGUGAAGCCCCCCUCAAGAUGAGAUAUCCAUACUCGAAAGAGUGAGAGACCCCUUAGAGACGAUGAGGUAGAUAGGGCAGAGAUGGAAGUGCAGCGAUGCAUGGAGUUGACUGUUACUAAUCGGUCGAAAGCUUGACC
This 1289-nucleotide ribosomal RNA is filed under the name metagenome. Its description in RNAcentral is "bacterial LSU rRNA". It matches the Rfam family "Bacterial large subunit ribosomal RNA", at positions 1619 to 2925 of the family's 2925-position model. The record is from RNAcentral.